Molecule: ribosomal RNA, 492 nt
Filed under: uncultured bacterium
Lineage: Bacteria
Description: partial 16S ribosomal RNA
Rfam family: Bacterial small subunit ribosomal RNA
Source: RNAcentral
AGUGAACGCUGGCGGUAGGCCUAACACAUGCAAGUCGAACGGCAGCUCAGUAAGAGCUUGCUCUUACGGGUGGCGAGUGGCGGACGGGUGAGGAAUACAUCGGAAUCUACUUUUUCGUGGGGGAUAACGUAGGGAAACUUACGCUAAUACCGCAUACGACCUACGGGUGAAAGCAGGGGAUCUUCGGACCUUGCGCGAUUGAAUGAGCCGAUGUCGGAUUAGCUAGUUGGCGGGGUAAAGGCCCACCAAGGCGACGAUCCGUAGCUGGUCUGAGAGGAUGAUCAGCCACACUGGAACUGAGACACGGUCCAGACUCCUACGGGAGGCAGCAGUGGGGAAUAUUGGACAAUGGGCGAAAGCCUGAUCCAGCCAUACCGCGUGGGUGAAGAAGGCCUUCGGGUUGUAAAGCCCUUUUGUUGGGAAAGAAAAGCAGCAGGUUAAUACCCCGCUGUUCUGACGGUACCCAAAGAAUAAGCACCGGCUAACUUCGUG